GAAGCUGACUAAGCAGUCGCCGCCUGAGUAACCUGUGUUCAUAAGCAUGGUACAUUCAGGGGGAGGAAAGUCCGGGCUCCAUAGGGUACGGGUGCCAGGUAAUACCUGGGGGGCGUAAGUCAACGACUAGUGCAACAGAAAAUAAACCGCCGAUAACCUAAUUAAUUAGGUUAGGUAAGGGUGAAAUGGUGCGGUAAGAGCGCACCACGCAGCUGGUAACAGAAAGUGGUAUGGUAAACUCCACCCUGGAGAAAGGCCAAAUAGGAGCUCAUUAGGUGCGACCCGCACAGAGCUCGGGUGGGCUGCUUGAGCGAGUAAGUGAUUACUAGCCUAGAUGAAUGACUGUUCACGACAGAACCCGGCUUAUCGGUCAGCUUCCUGA
This 382-nucleotide RNase P RNA is filed under the name Candidatus Erwinia haradaeae. RNAcentral describes it as "Bacterial RNase P class A". It matches the Rfam family "Bacterial RNase P class A". From Rfam's summary of the family: Ribonuclease P (RNase P) is a ubiquitous endoribonuclease, found in archaea, bacteria and eukarya as well as chloroplasts and mitochondria. Its best characterised activity is the generation of mature 5'-ends of tRNAs by cleaving the 5'-leader elements of precursor-tRNAs. Lineage: Bacteria; Pseudomonadati; Pseudomonadota; Gammaproteobacteria; Enterobacterales; Erwiniaceae. The record is from Rfam by way of RNAcentral.